Molecule: long non-coding RNA, 673 nt
Organism: Amphimedon queenslandica
Lineage: Eukaryota; Metazoa; Porifera; Demospongiae; Haplosclerida; Niphatidae
Exons: 3
Source: RefSeq, a predicted model, not a curated record
UUAUUCCAAGUUGUUGGACGCCAUUUUUAUGCAUUCAACUGCACAUGCUCAGUAUUAUUCAAUGGGGACACCUUCAUUUUGCAAUUACUGCUUACCUCGCUGCUUACUGACUUAUCUAUGAUGAGAUUAAGAUGAUGUGCCUGCCUAAACACCCUAUCUACUUACACCAAGAUUCACUUCAAAGUUUUGUAUCAGUUAUGUAUAUACUUCAAUUUGCCUUCAUUCUCUUCAUUACUUCAAUCUCUUCAAGUAAGUCUCGCCUGCCCUUUCACUACCUGCGGAGCUGGAGGAGUGGUCUGGAGACACUACCAUCUAAAAUGUGUGCAAAGAGGAACACAUGGUUGACCUACAUCAUGUGAUAGAGGAGACCAGAUAGGUCAAAAUAGCUGAAACAGAUGCUUUGCAGCUAAGAAAAGUUGAGGAUAGAGUCCCUUUGGACAUCUCUUUCAGAUCCUUCCUCCGGAGGUAAGCGAAGGGGUGGGGCGAGACUAAUGGGUAUGUUAAAUGGUGGGCUUAAACGCCCUCCCCAGUCCAUGUCCAUGUACGUGCAGCCUCAAUUAGGGAGUGGCUUCCAUGGAUCAUGCAUGGCCGUGUCCUACUACUAUUAUAUUUAGGCCACUUCAAUUAGAUUUAUACCCGUUUCCCACCCACAUGGUCCCCCCUCACUAUUUCA